GACGAACGCUGGCGGCGUGCUUAACACAUGCAAGUCGAACGGUGAAGCGAGUGCUUGCACUCGUGGAUCAGUGGCGAACGGGUGAGUAACACGUGAGUAACCUGCCCAUCACUCUGGGAUAAGCACUGGAAACGGUGUCUAAUACUGGAUACGACCAACCCUUGCAUGGGGUGUUGGUGGAAAGAUUUAUCGGUGAUGGAUGGACUCGCGGCCUAUCAGCUUGUUGGCGGGGUAAUGGCCCACCAAGGCGACGACGGGUAGCCGGCCUGAGAGGGUGACCGGCCACACUGGGACUGAGACACGGCCCAGACUCCUACGGGAGGCAGCAGUGGGGAAUAUUGCACAAUGGGCGAAAGCCUGAUACAGCGACGCCGCGUGAGGGAUGACGGCCUUCGGGUUGUAAACCUCUUUCAGCAGGGAAGAAGCGAAAGUGACGGUACCUGCAGAAGAAGCACCGGCUAACUACGUG
This 469-nucleotide ribosomal RNA is filed under the name uncultured bacterium. RNAcentral's name for it is "partial 16S ribosomal RNA". It matches the Rfam family "Bacterial small subunit ribosomal RNA", at positions 28 to 507 of the family's 1533-position model. The record is from RNAcentral.